CAGCCAUGCCGCCGUGUGUGAAGAAGGCCUUUUGGUUGUAAAGCACUUUAAGCGAGGAGGAGGCUACUGAGAUUAAUACUCUAGGAUAGUGGACGUUACUCGCAGAAUAAGCACCGGCUAACUCUGUGCCAGCAGCCGCGGUAAUACAGAGGGUGCGAGCGUUAAUCGGAUUUACUGGGCGUAAAGCGUGCGUAGGCGGCUUUUUAAGUCGGAUGUGAAAUCCCUGAGCUUAACUUAGGAAUUGCAUUCGAUACUGGGAAGCUAGAGUAUGGGAGAGGAUGGUAGAAUUCCAGGUGUAGCGGUGAAAUGCGUAGAGAUCUGGAGGAAUACCGAUGGCGAAGGCAGCCAUCUGGCCUAAUACUGACGCUGAGGUACGAAAGCAUGGGGAGCAAACAGGAUUAGAUACCCUGGUAGUCCAUGCCGUAAACGAUGUCUACUAGCCGUUGGGGCCUUUGAGGCUUUAGUGGCGCAGCUAACGCGAUAAGUAGACCGCCUGGGGAGUACGGUCGCAAGACUAAAACUCAAAUGAAUUGACGGGGGCCCGCACAAGCGGUGGAGCAUGUGGUUUAAUUCGAUGCAACGCGAAGAACCUUACCUGGUCUUGACAUAGUAAGAACUUUCCAGAGAUGGAUUGGUGCCUUCGGGAACUUACAUACAGGUGCUGCAUGGCUGUCGUCAGCUCGUGUCGUGAGAUGUUGGGUUAAGUCCCGCAACGAGCGCAACCCUUUUCCUUAUUUGCCAGCGGGUUAAGCCGGGAACUUUAAGGAUACUGCCAGUGACAAACUGGAGGAAGGCGGGGACGACGUCAAGUCAUCAUGGCCCUUACGACCAGGGCUACACACGUGCUACAAUGGUCGGUACAAAGGGUUGCUACCUAGCGAUAGGAUGCUAAUCUCAAAAAGCCGAUCGUAGUCCGGAUUGGAGUCUGCAACUCGACUCCAUGAAGUCGGAAUCGCUAGUAAUCGCGGAUCAGAAUGCCGCGGUGAAUACGUUCCCGGGCCUUGUACACACCGCCCGUCACACCAUGGGAAUUUGUUGCACCAGAAGUAGGUAGUCUAACCGCAAGGAGGACGCUACCACGGUGCCGUGUU
RNAcentral lists this ribosomal RNA (1091 nucleotides) under Acinetobacter sp. 6-8(2010). RNAcentral describes it as "bacterial SSU rRNA". It matches the Rfam family "Bacterial small subunit ribosomal RNA", at positions 389 to 1471 of the family's 1533-position model. The record is from RNAcentral. Lineage: Bacteria; Pseudomonadati; Pseudomonadota; Gammaproteobacteria; Moraxellales; Moraxellaceae.